GACAGAGGUGCCAAGCGUUAGGCGGAAUCACUGGGCUUAAAGCGUGUGUAGGCGGAUCGUUAAGUGCCUUGUGAAAUCCCACGGCUUAACCGUGGAACUGCUCGGCAUACUGGCGGUCUUGAGCCAGCUAGGGGCUACCGGAACAAAUGGUGGAGCGGUGAAAUGCGUAGAUAUCAUUUGGAACGCCAAUGGUGAAAACAGGUAGCUGGGGCUGUGCUGACGCUGAGACACGAAAGCCAGGGGAGCGAACGGA
This 253-nucleotide ribosomal RNA is filed under the name uncultured bacterium. RNAcentral's name for it is "partial 16S ribosomal RNA". It matches the Rfam family "Bacterial small subunit ribosomal RNA", at positions 524 to 776 of the family's 1533-position model. The record is from RNAcentral.